GGUUUAAUUCGAAGCAACGCGAAGAACCUUACCUAAGCUUGACAUCCCAAUGACAUCUCCUUAAUCGGAGAGUUCCCUUCGGGGACAUUGGUGACAGGUGGUGCAUGGUUGUCGUCAGCUCGUGUCGUGAGAUGUUGGGUUAAGUCCCGCAACGAGCGCAACCCUUGUCUUUAGUUGCCAUCAUUAAGUUGGGCACUCUAGAGAGACUGCCAGGGAUAACCUGGAGGAAGGUGGGGAUGACGUCAAAUCAUCAUGCCCCUUAUGCUUAGGGCUACACACGUGCUACAAUGGGUAGUACAGAGGGUUGCCAAGCCGUAAGG
RNAcentral lists this ribosomal RNA (320 nucleotides) under Clostridioides difficile. RNAcentral describes it as "bacterial SSU rRNA". It matches the Rfam family "Bacterial small subunit ribosomal RNA", at positions 943 to 1262 of the family's 1533-position model. The record is from RNAcentral. Lineage: Bacteria; Bacillati; Bacillota; Clostridia; Peptostreptococcales; Peptostreptococcaceae.